RNAcentral lists this small RNA (1295 nucleotides) under Rattus norvegicus (Norway rat). RNAcentral's name for it is "uncharacterized LOC102547989". Lineage: Eukaryota; Metazoa; Chordata; Mammalia; Rodentia; Muridae. The record is from RNAcentral.
CAGCCUCCGCUGUGCUGCAGCUGCCCAGGUUUUAUAGCCUGAGCCAAACCGUUGCGCAGUGCUGAUCAUGCUUAGCUCCCGUUUCAUUUGGCAUCGCCAGUGAACCUUAGACUUCGCGAAUGUGAAGGUUGUUCUUCGAAUUCCGGGAAAAUUGUCAGCCCGAGGAAGAAGAGAAAGGAUAUAGCUGGAGGACCUCAAAUGCCAAGAUGCCUUUUAAAGGGCAAACAGCCUCUCAGGAUAUUUGAACUGGAGAUGGCUCCGUGUGCGAAUGCAAUUGCUGCCAAGACUGAUGACCUGAGUUUGAUCCUGAAACUCCCAUGGUUCCCUGAGUUCUGAAGGGAAGAAUGAGGCGGGACAUUCCACAGAACUGUGUUUCAAGGACUCCUGUUUGUGUAAUGUCUGGCUUUGUAUGUCUGCAUCUGUUCUCAUCUGCUGCAGGAAGAAGCUUCUCUUAUCGUGACUGAAUAAGGCACUGAUCUAUGAGGAUAAUGGAAUACCAUUAGUAGUCAUUUUAUUGAUACUUUACUUUUUUGUUUUGAACAGAAACAUUUUUGCCAUAGGGCAUUGAACUAUCUAUUUUCUGGCUCUUGGUCUCCAAAGCAAUGUCAGAUAUGGGCUCUAUCUCAUGGAGUGGUCUUUAAGGCAGAUCAAUUAUUUGUUUGCAACUCUCACAUGUUCUGAGCCAUCAUUGCCCUAACAUAUCUUGCAGGCAGGAUAGAUUGUAGGUUAAAGGUUUUGUGGCUGGGUUGUUGAUUAUAUUUCUCUUUUGGUAGCUAACAGAGUACCCUUCCACCCAAAGACACUGGAAUGUAGGUAUUAAAGCCCAUCAUGGAUUUCUCCAUAUUCAGUGUGUUAUGUGAGUUUCAUUCUCAGCAGUGUGCCCUGAUAGUUUGUAGAGAUUAACCCACUGUACUGGUAACACUUGGGUUGUUUGGGGAUUUCCAAAUGACCCUUUUGGCCAAUAAUUCAAUUCAGUCCAAUCCAGUUCUGGAAUUUGAGGCUUUGAUGAGUAAUGGCCAGUGACACUCUGUUGCCCCCAGUAUUAGGAGACCUCACUAGCCUCUUCUUUAUCUUCUUUAGUAAGUUCACACCAUACCAUAUUUCCGUACCGUCCCUCAAAUGCCCUUCAGUUCCAACUGUUCCUUCUUACAAAUCUACUCUUAACUCUAUCUCUCCUCUAGUUUCUGGAUAUAUGAAUAGAACAACAGUUAACAAUGUUGGGCAUACUGCCCCACAGGUGGCCCAUACAUAUACAGCCACCCAAUUAGACAAGAUGGAUGAAGCAAAGAAGUGCA